AGUAACGCGUGGGUAACCUGCCUCAUACAGGGGGGUAACAGUUAGAAAUGGCUGCUAAUACCGCAUAAGCGCACAGUACUGCAUGGUACAGUGUGAAAAACUCUGGUGGUAUGAGAUGGACCCGCGUCUGAUUAGCUAGUUGGUGAGGUAAGGGCUCACCAAGGCAACGAUCAGUAGCCGACCUGAGAGGGUGAACGGCCACAUUGGGACUGAGACACGGCCCAAACUCCUACGGAAGGCAGCAG
This 245-nucleotide ribosomal RNA is filed under the name uncultured bacterium. RNAcentral's name for it is "partial 16S ribosomal RNA". It matches the Rfam family "Bacterial small subunit ribosomal RNA", at positions 109 to 354 of the family's 1533-position model. The record is from RNAcentral.